CGUUUUUCGUUAAGGGGGAACCUGGCGGGAGGGAAUCAUUUAACGGCGCAAGCCCUUUGAAAGGCCGGCCCGGCGGGACCCCAAGGUUCCGGCGGCCAGGCCCCCGCCACACGCCCAUCUUGUCUACUCCCAGUUGCCCGGCGGGCCUCGCGGCCGCCAGAGGAGUGAUUAAAAUCCAUGAAUACUGUUCCGUCUGAGCGUUAGCAAGUAAAAUCAGUUAAAACUUUCAACAACGGAUCUCUUGGUUCCGGCAUCGAUGAAGAACGCAGCGAAAUGCGAUAAGUAAUGUGAAUUGCAGAAUUCCGUGAAUCAUCGAAUCUUUGAACGCACAUUGCGCCCUCUGGUAUUCCGGGGGGCAUGCCUGUUCGAGCGUCAUUUCAACCCCUCAAGCGCGGCUUGUGUGAUGGACGACCGUCCCCGCCCUCCCCGGCUCCCGGGGAGGGGGACGCGCCCGAAAAGCAGUGGCCAGGCCGCGAUUCCGGCUCCUGGGCGAAUGGGCAACAAACCAGCGCCUCUAGGACCGGCCGGCUCUCUGGCCUAGUUUCCGUCAGAGAUGUAUUUCUCUGCAAUUUAGGUGACCUCCGAUCAGGUAGGAC
Molecule: ribosomal RNA, 596 nt
Filed under: Trichophyton mentagrophytes
Lineage: Eukaryota; Fungi; Ascomycota; Eurotiomycetes; Onygenales; Arthrodermataceae
Description: eukaryotic LSU rRNA
Rfam family: 5.8S ribosomal RNA (bases 222-375)
Source: RNAcentral